UAAAGUUUUUGUCUCUUUGAACUUCAACUUUUGAUUAUAUAUAUUCAAAGGUUUAAGUGUGAGAUAACAAAGAAGAACGCAAGGUCCUGUGUGUACGUAAUGCUAAAUUUUUAAGAUGGAUAAAAUAGGAACAACAUGAAAUGGCAGUCCAACUCAUGAACCAUGAAAUGCGAGUGAAAAGGGAAGGUUAGGUAGUUCUUGCUUGUUCUGAGUGUUAUAACUUUCCUGAAUACCUAGGUCACAUACCGUGUGCUGAUAGUUUGAUAUAUGCUUGAGCAAAAUACUGCUAUAAACGAAAAAUUGAACCAAACCUUAAUACAUGUGUUAUGCUCCCUAUAUAUUAAAAUCCCUAAUUUUCACUCACUUAGUUCUGUUUCACACAGAUGGUGAAAUGCAACCUCUCUUCCUCUCCUUUUCUGUCGACCUAACGUUUUCUCCUCCCCCUCCUGGCUCGAUGUUGCUCACCUUCAUCAUCUCUUCUUUUUAUGAUCUCUAUAACCUACACAAAACCAAUCUCACCUGCCUCUCACUUUCUCUCACUAGAGCACAAAGGAGAAUAGACAAAGGAACCCCCCUAAUCUCGUCUUAUGUUGUCUCGAUGACUAUGGCAGUUACACUACCUCCUCUUCUUUGUCUACUCACUGGGAGUCUCUUCCUUCUAUUGUUAUCGG
RNAcentral lists this unclassified non-coding RNA (671 nucleotides) under Hevea brasiliensis (rubber tree). The record is from RNAcentral. Lineage: Eukaryota; Viridiplantae; Streptophyta; Magnoliopsida; Malpighiales; Euphorbiaceae.